This 381-nucleotide ribosomal RNA is filed under the name uncultured bacterium. RNAcentral describes it as "bacterial SSU rRNA". It matches the Rfam family "Bacterial small subunit ribosomal RNA", at positions 29 to 409 of the family's 1533-position model. The record is from RNAcentral.
AUUGAACGCUGGCGGCGUGCUUAACACAUGCAAGUCGAUCGGUAACAGGUGUAGCAAUACAUGCUGACGAGAGGCGGACGGGUGAGUAAUGCUUGGGAAUCUGCCUAUUAGUGGGGGACAACCCGGGGAAACUCGGGCUAAUACCGCAUACGCUCUACGGAGGAAAGCCGGGGACCGCAAGGCCUGGCGCUAAUAGAUGAGCCCAAGUCGGAUUAGCUAGUUGGUAGGGUAACGGCCUACCAAGGCGACAAUCCGUAGCUGGUCUGAGAGGACGACCAGCCACACCGGAACUGAGACACGGUCCGGACUCCUACGGGAGGCAGCAGUGGGGAAUAUUGGACAAUGGGGGCAACCCUGAUCCAGCGACGCCGCGUGGGUGAA